GGUUCCAUAGUGUAGAGGUCAGCACGUCUGCUUUACAUGCAGAAGGCCCUGGGUUCAUGCCUCAGUGGAGCCA
This is a non-coding RNA of Pteropus alecto (black flying fox), 73 nucleotides long. Lineage: Eukaryota; Metazoa; Chordata; Mammalia; Chiroptera; Pteropodidae. The record is from Rfam.